CCUCUCUAGCUCUCGACUUUCUCCAUCAAGGCAUUCUCAUCAUCGAUCGAACCUGUGAGAGAAGUAGCGCUAGCGCCGAGGGUCUCAUGUUUGCCUUCAAAUCGUUUUUGCCUGAUCAGAGAACCCUUUAGUUCAUGGAGCUUUUCCGUCUCUUUGUCUUUCGGCAGAAAUUCCGGUGGAACUCCUUGUGAACGGAGUACCAACGGUCUCUCUGUACAUUAGAAAGGUUUAUUUUGGUUGAUUAUUUGGGAUAUCGUUUGGUUCGUGUCUUCCUUCAAAUCAUUUUUUCCUGAUCAGAGAACCCUCUAGUUCACGCGGUACCAAAGGUUUGUCUCUGUACAUUUGGAAGGGUUUAUUUUGGUUGAUUUUUAUUUGGGAUAUUGUUUGGUUCAUGUUUGCAGAAUACAGAAAUUUAUCUUCGUCGAGCUUCGGCUAAGUGAUAACUGAAACUGUUCUCAAAUUAUAAAGUGAAAAGUCUACCAUUGUACAGAGAUAUAGAAAGGGUCGUUGUUCCCAUUACUGGUAGCUCUAGCUGGCACUGUCAAUUCUUAUUACCUAUUGUGCUGGAGUGGAGCGAAAAGUCUACCUUACUGAUUGUUCCAGCCGGCCCCCUCUCUCGUUUGGGAUUGGAGUAUCCUUAAUUCUUGCUAAAAUUGAACUCUUUUUCUGCAAUAUAAACCACAAUCUUUGCAUCUUGCUUUUAAAAAUCUGAGUCUUUUAGGUUUGAGUUAAAAUCUGUGAAUUGUAUCUCACAUGUUCCUUGAAAUUUCUUUGUACUUGAUUAAUUAUUGACCAUAUGACAUUGUCAUUCUUGUAAUCAGUCUGUGCUCCUACA
Macadamia integrifolia is the source of this 835-nucleotide long non-coding RNA. RefSeq lists it as uncharacterized. The record is from RefSeq and is a predicted model, not a curated record. NCBI's taxonomy places the organism in Eukaryota, Viridiplantae, Streptophyta, Magnoliopsida, Proteales, Proteaceae. The transcript is spliced from 2 exons.